CAGAUGCUGUCAGUGUGCAAUAAAUGUCUGAAAGGGAGAAACAGGAGCAAGAGUUUGGAAGCAGAACAGUUGGGGGAAUGAGGGAGACUAACGGACAGGGCAUGUUCCUCUGGUGCCACGUGAGACAGGCAGCGAUGUUGCCAAGUGUCCCGGAAGCUGGACGGGAAUCAGGCACCGAGCGCCUUGUAUCCUGAUUAGCUGGCAAGUCUUUUCUUUCUCCCAUGGCACAGAAGACCCCAGAAGGGUUUUAAGUCAGGAGGUGACGUGACUGGAGGUGCAACACCAGCUGGCCACGGGAUGGAGGAAGGGUCCCUGGCCUUACACAGCGCUCACCCCAGGCCCUGCUGGCCCAGCACACAGCAGGUGAGCUGCAGUCAGCCACUGCGGUGGCAACAACCCACUGAGGCACCGAAUUAAACAAAAAAGGGUUGAGGUUAUGAAAGGAGAGGUUCCAGCUAGAGUUCAAGAAAGUCUUCCAGACCUGCCUGCAGAGAAUUAAACCCAGACACUGUGAAGUGCCCGUCCCAUCCUUCAAGAACCAGCUCAGAUGCCUCCUCUCUGGGAAGCCUUUCCUGCGCCCCCAAGGCUGUUGCUCACUGGAGAGCCCUGAGAGCAGGCAUUAUACUGCAUCCCAUUUGUAUAUUUUGUAUCCCUUUCUAUCUCAUAAAUGGGGCAGGAAUUCAAUCAAGACCUGAGUCAAUUUAUUUUAUUUAUACUGAGAACUUCUGUGGCAGUCUCUGUGCUAGGGGAAUACGGAGGACACAGGACACAAUGCACAGUCCAGUUCAGGGAGAACCAAUGAAUGGAGUUGGUACAAAAGCUAGCGUUGGGGUUUGAGAGUGAUACUUACACCCCCUCCCCAAGUUCAGGCCAGCUGAGAGGUAUGCACACAGG
RNAcentral lists this long non-coding RNA (894 nucleotides) under Equus asinus (donkey). Its description in RNAcentral is "lncRNA (ENSEASG00005024875.1)". Lineage: Eukaryota; Metazoa; Chordata; Mammalia; Perissodactyla; Equidae. The record is from RNAcentral.